GGUUUAAUUCGAAGCAACGCGAAGAACCUUACCAGGUCUUGACAUCCUCUGACAAUCCUAGAGAUAGGACGUCCCCUUCGGGGGCAGAGUGACAGGUGGUGCAUGGUUGUCGUCAGCUCGUGUCGUGAGAUGUUGGGUUAAGUCCCGCAACGAGCGCAACCCUUGAUCUUAGUUGCCAGCAUUCAGUUGGGCACUCUAAGGUGACUGCCGGUGACAAACCGGAGGAAGGUGGGGAUGACGUCAAAUCAUCAUGCCCCUUAUGACCUGGGCUACACACGUGCUACAAUGGACAGAACAAAGGGCAGCGAAACCGCGAGGUUAAGCCAAUCCCACAAAUCUGUUCUCAGUUCGGAUCGCAGUCUGCAACUCGACUGCGUGAAGCUGGAAUCGCUAGUAAUCGCGGAUCAGCAUGCCGCGGUGAAUACGUUCCCGGGCCUUGUACACACCGCCCGUCACACCACGAGAGUUUGUAACACCCGAAGUCGGUGAG
RNAcentral lists this ribosomal RNA (490 nucleotides) under Bacillus cereus. RNAcentral describes it as "bacterial SSU rRNA". It matches the Rfam family "Bacterial small subunit ribosomal RNA", at positions 943 to 1434 of the family's 1533-position model. Lineage: Bacteria; Bacillati; Bacillota; Bacilli; Caryophanales; Bacillaceae. The record is from RNAcentral.